Molecule: ribosomal RNA, 274 nt
Filed under: uncultured bacterium
Lineage: Bacteria
Description: partial 16S ribosomal RNA
Rfam family: Bacterial small subunit ribosomal RNA
Source: RNAcentral
AUACGGAGGGUGCAAGCGUUACUCGGAAUCACUGGGCGUAAAGCGCGCGCAGGCGGGCUUUUAAGUUGGAUGUGAAAGCCUACGGCUCAACCGUAGAACUGCAUCCAAAACUAUUAGACUAGAGUGUGGGAGAGGAAGAUGGAAUUAGUUGUGUAGGGGUAAAAUCCGUAGAGAUAACUAGGAAUACCAAAAGCGAAGGCAAUCUUCUGGAACACUACUGACGCUGAGGCGCGAAAGCGUGGGGAGCAAACAGGAUUAGAUACCCUAGUAGUCC